GAUGAACGCUGGCGGCGUGCCUAAUACAUGCAAGUCGAACGAGGACCCUUUGUAUUCGUACGGAGGAAUCCUAGUGGCGAACGGGUGAGUAACGCGUUGGUGACCUGCCCCGAAGAGGGGGAUAACAGCUCGAAAGGGCUGCUAAUACCCCAUGUGGUCACGAAGAUUAGAGGCUUUGUUACUAAAGGAGUGAUCCGCUUCGGGAGGGACCUGCGUCCCAUCAGCUAGUUGGUAGGGUAAUGGCCUACCAAGGCAAUGACGGGUAGGGGGCCUGAGAGGGUGGCCCCCCACACUGGCACUGAAACACGGGCCAGACACCUACGGGUGGCAGCAGUAGGGAAUAUUGCACAAUGGGCGAAAGCCUGAUGCAGCAACGCCGCGUGCACGAUGAAGGCUUUCGGGUUGUAAAGUGCUUUUCUGGAGGAAGAGAAAGGACGGUACUCCAGGAAUAAGUCUCGGCUAACUACGUG
RNAcentral lists this ribosomal RNA (470 nucleotides) under uncultured bacterium. RNAcentral describes it as "bacterial SSU rRNA". It matches the Rfam family "Bacterial small subunit ribosomal RNA", at positions 28 to 507 of the family's 1533-position model. The record is from RNAcentral.